UAACCAGACUCCAUCCAAGUUUCUACGACGGUCGACCACCUUCCAGAUUCCAUCCGAGCUCUUACGAGAACUGGAUUUCAGCCGAGCUUCUACAGUGGACGGAUCCUCCAAAAGGGCUCCAGCAGUUGGACUUCAACAACGCCAAUUGGACUUCCACAGGAUCCUCCAGACCCCUCCAGCAGACGAACCUCCCCAACACCAUCCGAAGUCCACUACCGACUGACCCUCUAUCAGAUUCCUCAUGAAAACGGACUUCCCCAACAGAAAGUCCCCAUCCGAGCUUUUACAACAGAUGACUCCCACC
This 304-nucleotide long non-coding RNA is filed under the name Elaeis guineensis (African oil palm). RNAcentral describes it as "long non-coding RNA (EGUI_LNC055510)". The record is from RNAcentral. Lineage: Eukaryota; Viridiplantae; Streptophyta; Magnoliopsida; Arecales; Arecaceae.